RNAcentral lists this ribosomal RNA (469 nucleotides) under uncultured bacterium. RNAcentral describes it as "partial 16S ribosomal RNA". It matches the Rfam family "Bacterial small subunit ribosomal RNA", at positions 28 to 507 of the family's 1533-position model. The record is from RNAcentral.
GACGAACGCUGGCGGCGUGCUUAACACAUGCAAGUCGAACGGUGAAGCGAGUGCCUGCCCUCGUGGAUCAGUGGCGAACGGGUGAGUAACACGUGAGUAACCUGCCCAUCACUCUGGGAUAAGCACUGGAAACGGUGUCUAAUACUGGAUACGACCAACCCUUGCAUGGGGUGUUGGUGGAAAGAUUUAUCGGUGAUGGAUGGACUCGCGGCCUAUCAGCUUGUUGGCGGGGUAAUGGCCCACCAAGGCGACGACGGGUAGCCGGCCGGAGAGGGUGACCGGCCACACUGGGACUGAGACACGGCCCAGACUCCUACGGGAGGCAGCAGUGGGGAAUAUUGCACAAUGGGCGAAAGCCUGAUGCAGCGACGCCGCGUGAGGGAUGACGGCCUUCGGGUUGUAAACCUCUUUCAGCAGGGAAGAAGCGAAAGUGACGGUACCUGCAGAAGAAGCACCGGCUAGCUACGUG